Molecule: long non-coding RNA, 670 nt
Organism: Triticum aestivum (bread wheat)
Lineage: Eukaryota; Viridiplantae; Streptophyta; Magnoliopsida; Poales; Poaceae
Exons: 5
Source: RefSeq, a predicted model, not a curated record
CACAGCCGACGGCGAUCCCCCACCUCUACCUCUACCUCUCCUUCCCCCACACCCACUCCAGCGCAACCUCCCUAUAGAUCUGGCGACGCCUCCACUAGGCGGGAUGGCCAGGACUUCCACGUGCUCGGCAUCCAUGGUGGUCGCACACCGGACGACCCCAACGGCCGUGCGUUGGAUGGCGACUUCGGAUCUUGUCCUAGUGGACAAUGGCGACCAGAUCUACCGGCAGGGAGGGUCUCGGUUGCCUCCUCGGCGACCUCUCGUCGGCCACAACCAUAUCAUUUGGGAGCCGUGCACGGGAUGGCCACUUUGGAUCUUAGCCUAGAGGACAACAAUGACCAGAUCUACUGGCGGGGGGGAUCUCGGUUGCCUCCUCGACGACCUCUCGUCGUCCACAACAAUAUCAUUUGGGAGAUCUUGGCCUAGUGGACAACGACGACCAGAUCUACCGGCAGGGAGGAUCUCGGUUGCCUCCUCAGCGACCUCUCGUCAGCCACAACCAUAUCACUGGUUAGGAGUCAAAAAUGACUAGACGAAGGGAUAAAGCAAUUGAUUUGAAUGAGCCACCACGCAGCGAACAAAGAUGUGGUUGAGCGUGUACUCGUCUGCAACUUCAGUGACUCAUCGUUUGAUCAUCAUCUAUAGACUCGAGCAGACGCUUAAACCCAGC